UCUUCCUGAUCCGGUGAGUACUCCUCGCCUUCAUCGGCUUGCGGUACCCACUGGGAGGGGAGACAUGUUUACAUGUUCUCACCUCCCCCACUAUUUUUCAGGUAUCGCCGGCGGUGAGAGUUGAGACGAGACGUGAGACACGUUCGUAGUGGUCGCUAGAGCUUCCGACCCAGGUUAUUCGGUUUAGUUUCUACCCNCCGCCGUCGGCGCCGUCGCCACUGGGAGGGGAGACAUGUUUACAUGUUCUCACCUCCCCCACCAUUUUUCACGUAUCGCCGGCCAUGGGAGUUGAGACGAGACGCGAGACACGUUCGUAGUGGUCGCUAGAGCUUCCGACCCAGUUUGUCGGUUUAGUUCCUACCCUGUUUACUUUUGUUAUUAAUAGCUUUGAUAUUACAUGGUUCAGUUGGUUUAUGUUAUUCGAAUUCAUGUGGUUUUGAAUGAACUAUAGAACUCGUGGAUUUUGUGAAAAGAAAAAAUGGUUUUCUACCCCUCGUGGUAGCGUUUUUAAAAGAUAAAAGUUUUUGAGUAGGGAACAAUUUUCAAAAGAUUUUCUGUGGAUUUAUAUUUAGACAUUGAAUGUAAAUCUAUGAUAUGAAUGGUGAAUGUAUGAAUGUAUAGUUAUCUCUAUAUUCAUUUAGUUGUGGUUGUAUCCGGUUUACUUGUUGUACUUGUGCGACGCCGUGCAAAUACAGGAGAGACUCUGUCCGUGUGAUAAUAGAUUUUCUGUAUUUGUGGCGAAUCUUGCAUACUCU
This 755-nucleotide long non-coding RNA is filed under the name Ananas comosus (pineapple). RNAcentral describes it as "long non-coding RNA (ACOM_LNC036594)". The record is from RNAcentral. Lineage: Eukaryota; Viridiplantae; Streptophyta; Magnoliopsida; Poales; Bromeliaceae.